ACUCCUACGGGAGGCAGCAGUGGGGAAUAUUGGUUAACAUAGGGGCACCCUGAUCCAGCAAUGCCGCGUGAGUGAUGAAGGCCUUAGGGUUGUAAAGCUCUUUUACCCGGGAAGAUAAUGACUGUACCGGGAGAAUAAGCCCCGGCUAACUCCGUGCCAGCAGCCGCGGUAAUAAUGGAGGGGGCUAGCGUUGUUCGGAAUUACUGGGCGUAAAGCGCACGUA
Molecule: ribosomal RNA, 223 nt
Filed under: uncultured bacterium
Lineage: Bacteria
Description: partial 16S ribosomal RNA
Rfam family: Bacterial small subunit ribosomal RNA
Source: RNAcentral